RNAcentral lists this unclassified non-coding RNA (288 nucleotides) under uncultured fungus. RNAcentral's name for it is "sequence contains 5.8S rRNA gene". The stretch from base 1 to 53 matches the Rfam family "5.8S ribosomal RNA", at positions 102 to 154 of the family's 154-position model. The record is from RNAcentral. Lineage: Eukaryota; Fungi.
GAACGCACAUUGCACCCGGUGGUAUUCCGCCGGGUAUGCCUGUUCGAGCGUCAUUUCAACCCUCAGGCCCCCCCUCCUCACGGGGGGGAAGGGCCUGGUGUUGGGGAUCUACGGGCCCUUCUGGCGCCCGUAGUCCCCUAAAUCAAUCGGCGUGCGCGCUGUACGUUGCCCCCCUGCGUAGUAGUGAUUUCUCGCAUCGGGCCGUAGCGCUGUCCAGCCGCUAAACUGCAACUCCGCAUUUAGCUAGGUUUGACCUCGAAUCAGGUAGGGUUACCCGCUGAACUUAAG